RNAcentral lists this ribosomal RNA (253 nucleotides) under uncultured bacterium. Its description in RNAcentral is "partial 16S ribosomal RNA". It matches the Rfam family "Bacterial small subunit ribosomal RNA", at positions 524 to 776 of the family's 1533-position model. The record is from RNAcentral.
UACAGAGGUGGCAAGCGUUGUUCGGAAUUACUGGGCGUAAAGGGCGCGUAGGCGGCCUUGUCAGUCAGACGUGAAAUCCCCAGGCUUAACCUGGGAACUGCGUCUGAUACUACAAGGCUUGAGUGCGGGAGAGGGAUGUGGAAUUCCAGGUGUAGCGGUGAAAUGCGUAGAUAUCUGGAGGAACACCGGUGGCGAAGGCGGCAUCCUGGACCGACACUGACGCUGAGGCGCGAAGGCGUGGGGAGCGAACGGG